AAAAAGAGCAUUUGCUGUAAUUAGCAUAGUUGUGGAAGAGAGAUUCUCUGACACCGUUACAGAAUCGCUAUCAAGAGAUUUUGGAUGCACAAUUUUUGUAAGUUGGGGCAACUAUUGACCAGCGUUCUAAGCGCCUCA
Onychostoma macrolepis is the source of this 138-nucleotide small nuclear RNA. RefSeq annotates it as U11 spliceosomal RNA. The record is from RefSeq and is a predicted model, not a curated record. Lineage: Eukaryota; Metazoa; Chordata; Actinopteri; Cypriniformes; Cyprinidae. The transcript has a single exon.